CCACUGAAAAUAUUUUGAAGGGCCGCAGUAUUUUGACUGUGCAAAGGUAGCAUAAUCAUUAGUCUUUUAAUUGAAGGCUGGUAUGAAUGGUUGGAUGAGGUAAAUUCUGUUUUAUGUUAAUUGAUGUUGAAUUUAGAUUUUAAGUAAAAAUACUUAAAUGUUAUUAAGGGACGAGAAGACCCUAUAGAGUUUAAUAAAUGUAAUAAUUAAUUGAGUUAAAGUUUAAUUUUUGGUUUUUAUGUAAUUUAUUUAAUUGGGGUGAUUGGAAGAUAAAAUAAACUCUUCUUUAUAUUUAAUAAAUUAAUUAGUUAUAUGAUCCAUAUUUAAUGAUUAAAAGAUUAAAUUACCUUAGGGAUAACAGCAUAAUUCUUUUUAAGAGUUCAUAUCGAAAAAAGAGAUUGUGACCUCGAUGUUGGAUUAAGAUUAGUUAUGGGUGCAGAUGUUCAAUAACUAGGUCUGUUCGACCUUGAAAAUCUUACAUGAUCUGAGUUCAAACCGGAGA
Molecule: ribosomal RNA, 502 nt
Filed under: Tenodera sinensis (Chinese praying mantis)
Lineage: Eukaryota; Metazoa; Arthropoda; Insecta; Mantodea; Mantidae
Description: partial 16S ribosomal RNA
Rfam family: Bacterial large subunit ribosomal RNA
Source: RNAcentral